RNAcentral lists this ribosomal RNA (484 nucleotides) under uncultured bacterium. RNAcentral's name for it is "partial 16S ribosomal RNA". It matches the Rfam family "Bacterial small subunit ribosomal RNA", at positions 28 to 507 of the family's 1533-position model. The record is from RNAcentral.
AUUGAACGCUGGCGGCAUGCUUUACACAUGCAAGUCGAACGGCAGCGCGGGCUUCGGCCUGGCUGCGAGUGGCGAACGGGUGAGUAAUGCAUCGGAACGUGCCCAGUAGUUGGGGAUAGCCCGGCGACAGCCGGAUUAAUACCGCAUACGACCUGAGGGUGAACGCGGGGGACCGAAAGGCCUCGCGCUCUUGGAGCGGCCGAUGUCGGAUUAGCUAGUUGGUGGGGUAAAGGCUUACCAAGGCGACGAUCCGUAGCUGGUCUGAGAGGACGACCAGCCACACUGGGACUGAGACACGGCCCAGACUCCUACGGGAGGCAGCAGUGGGGAAUUUUGGACAAUGGGGGCAACCCUGAUCCAGCCAUGCCGCGUGCGGGAAGAAGGCCUUCGGGUUGUAAACCGCUUUUGUUCGGGAAGAAAUCCUCUGGGCUAAUACCCCGGGGGGAUGACGGUACCGGAAGAAUAAGCACCGGCUAACUACGUG